Molecule: ribosomal RNA, 486 nt
Filed under: uncultured bacterium
Lineage: Bacteria
Description: partial 16S ribosomal RNA
Rfam family: Bacterial small subunit ribosomal RNA
Source: RNAcentral
GAUGAACGCUGGCGGCGUGCCUAAUACAUGCAAGUCGAACGCUGGAGAUCUAGCUUGCUAGAUCGAAGGAGUGGCGAACGGGUGAGUAAUACAUAAGCAACCUACCCACGAAGACUGGGAUAAUCUCUGGAAACGGGGACUAAUACCGGAUAGGUAAUCGGAAGGCAUCUUCUGGUUAUUAAAGGUUAAAAACACUGGUGGAUGGGCUUAUGGCGCAUUAGUUAGUUGGUGAGGUAACGGCCCACCAAGACGAUGAUGCGUAGCCGGCCUGAGAGGGUGAACGGCCACAUUGGGACUGAGACGCGGCCCAGACUCCUACGGGAGGCAGCAGUAGGGAAUUUUCGGCAAUGGGGGCAACCCUGACCGAGCAACGCCGCGUGAGUGAAGACGGCCUUCGGGGUGUAAAGCUCUGUUGUAAGGGAAGAACGGUAGAUAGAGAAUAUCUAAGUGACGGUACCUUACCAGAAAGCCACGGCUAACUACGUG